UCCCCAGGAGGCACUGGGGGCCAGAAGCUGGCCCAGCUCCCAGAACUUGCUUCUGCCGAGAUGAGUCUCCAUGUCAUCUACCUGCACCAGCUUCACCAGCAGCAGCAGCAGCAGGAGCCGUGGGGUGAGGCUGCAGCCUCCAUCCUGUCCAGGCCCUGCUCCAGCCCCUCACAGCCACCCUCGCCUGAUGAGGAGAAGCCAUCCUGGUCAAGUGACGGCUCCAGUCCUGCCUCUAGCCCCAGACAACAGUGGGGAACCCAGAAGGCCCGGAAUCUGUUCCCCGGAGGGUUUCAGGUGACCACAGACACCCAGAAGGAGCCUGACCGGGCCUCUUGCACUGACUGAGACGACUCCUCAGGGUCAGUAUUGCCUCCUGUGAGGGGAGGGAGAAAGGACGGCAUAGGUAGUUGGUUUGGAGUCCGACUUGAAGCGAUGGGAGCAGUGGUGGGAAUUUGGGGUGAUGGGAGGUGGUCAUCUCUGGAAUCUAGACCCCUGGACUGCUUGCCAAGAGCCGUCUCCUCCCACAGGUACCCUGGCUUCGGCAGCCACAGGAGAUUGGAGGGUGGAGUAGAAAAACACAAGGAGUCAUUGUUAGAGGCCCCAUAGAUGACAGGCCCAGGUGCUUUAGUUGGGCAGGACCUGGGAGUCAGUGAGGAACUCGCCCCGAGAACAGAGAAAAGGUAGGCAAGGAGAGGAGAUGCUGAUGGCAUCUGGAAACAAGUCUUAGAGAUGGUCUGCACCCAGAGGGAAUAAGGGGAGACAUCCCCAACUGGAAUGUGUCCUGGAGCAGCUGCCUGGGAAGAAGUCCUCGAGUUUCCUCAAGGUGGGGGACAGAGGUCAAGGAUGAGGCCGAGCUAAAUGGAAGGGCGACAGUGAGGCAGGUGGGCUUUAAGGCUGUGGAUUCGUCAUGCUGGCGGCUGCCAGCAGCACUUUCAGGUUCCUUGGGGCUUGUAGGGGAUGGGGACUUGUCAGUGGAAAGACGGGAGGGAUGAUGUUUUUGGACUUCAGUACGGGUGUGAUGUCCCAGGAAGUGGGUGUGGCUCCCCAUCCUGUAUGAAA
Molecule: long non-coding RNA, 1059 nt
Filed under: Homo sapiens (human)
Lineage: Eukaryota; Metazoa; Chordata; Mammalia; Primates; Hominidae
Description: non-protein coding lnc-ATG9B-2:6
Source: RNAcentral